RNAcentral lists this non-coding RNA (47 nucleotides) under unclassified sequences. RNAcentral's name for it is "ssNA-helicase RNA". It matches the Rfam family "ssNA-helicase RNA". Rfam says of the family: Firmicutes, Actinobacteria (1 example). Downstream gene The record is from Rfam by way of RNAcentral.
UGCCUAAGGGCUAGUAUUACCCUUAGGCACAUCUGUAUCUUGUAGCA